GCUGGUGUGGCUCAGUGGUUGAGCGUCUGCCUUUGGCUCAGGUCGUGACCCCAGGGUCCUGGGAUCAAGUCCUGCAUCAGCU
This 82-nucleotide transfer RNA is filed under the name Canis lupus familiaris (dog). It matches the Rfam family "tRNA". From Rfam's summary of the family: Transfer RNA (tRNA) molecules are approximately 80 nucleotides in length. Their secondary structure includes four short double-helical elements and three loops (D, anti-codon, and T loops). Lineage: Eukaryota; Metazoa; Chordata; Mammalia; Carnivora; Canidae. The record is from Rfam by way of RNAcentral. RNAcentral also lists the same sequence under 1 other name.